ACGCCCCGCAAGGGGAGUGGCAGACGGGUGAGUAACGCGUGGGAACAUACCCUUUCCUGCGGAAUAGCUCCGGGAAACUGGAAUUAAUACCGCAUACGCCCUACGGGGGAAAGAUUUAUCGGGGAAGGAUUGGCCCGCGUUGGAUUAGCUAGUUGGUGGGGUAAAGGCCUACCAAGGCGACGAUCCAUAGCUGGUCUGAGAGGAUGAUCAGCCACAUUGGGACUGAGACACGGCCCAAACUCCUACGGGAGGCAGCAGUGGGGAAUAUUGGACAAUGGGCGCAAGCCUGAUCCAGCCAUGCCGCGUGAGUGAUGAAGGCCUUAGGGUUGUAAAGCUCUUUCACCGAUGAAGAUAAUGACGGUAGUCGGAGAAGAAGCCCCGGCUAACUUCGUGCCAGCAGCCGCGGUAAUACGAAGGGGGCUAGCGUUGUUCGGAAUUACUGGGCGUAAAGCGCACGUAGGCGGAUAUUUAAGUCAGGGGUGAAAUCCCGCAGCUCAACUGCGGAACUGCCUUUGAUACUGGGUAUCUUGAGUAUGGAAGAG
Molecule: ribosomal RNA, 542 nt
Filed under: uncultured bacterium
Lineage: Bacteria
Description: bacterial SSU rRNA
Rfam family: Bacterial small subunit ribosomal RNA
Source: RNAcentral